AGGUUACUUCGGUAGAGCACCUGACUGUUAAUCAGGUUGUCGCUGGUUCGAGCCCAGCAGGGGGAGCCA
RNAcentral lists this transfer RNA (69 nucleotides) under Clostridia bacterium. RNAcentral's name for it is "tRNA-Asn". It matches the Rfam family "tRNA", at positions 9 to 71 of the family's 71-position model. From Rfam's summary of the family: Transfer RNA (tRNA) molecules are approximately 80 nucleotides in length. Their secondary structure includes four short double-helical elements and three loops (D, anti-codon, and T loops). The record is from RNAcentral. Lineage: Bacteria; Bacillati; Bacillota; Clostridia.